AUGCUUACUUUGGCAGCACAUAUGCUGAAAUUUGAACGAUACAGAGAUUAGCACAGCCCCUGAGCAAGGAUGACAUGCAAGUUAGUGAAGGAGAUAUUACAUCC
Diceros bicornis minor is the source of this 104-nucleotide small nuclear RNA. The record is from RefSeq and is a predicted model, not a curated record. NCBI's taxonomy places the organism in Eukaryota, Metazoa, Chordata, Mammalia, Perissodactyla, Rhinocerotidae.